AGGCCCAAAGAGAGAGGCAGGGUCUGAUCUGCAGCCUCCAUGGCAGCUGUUGAUCAGCCCUUGCCUCUUUCUCUCCA
Molecule: non-coding RNA, 77 nt
Organism: Myotis davidii
Lineage: Eukaryota; Metazoa; Chordata; Mammalia; Chiroptera; Vespertilionidae
Source: Rfam